UAGGGAAUAUUCCGCAAUGGGCGAAAUCUUGACGGAGCGACGCCGCGUGAGCGAUGAAGGUUUUCGGAUCGUAAAGCUCUGUUGUUAGGGAAGAACAAGUACCGGAGUAACUGCCGGUACCUUGACCGGACCUAACCAGAAAGCCCCGGCUAACUACAUGCCAGCAGCCGCGGUAA
RNAcentral lists this ribosomal RNA (176 nucleotides) under uncultured Bacillus sp. RNAcentral's name for it is "partial 16S ribosomal RNA". It matches the Rfam family "Bacterial small subunit ribosomal RNA", at positions 355 to 523 of the family's 1533-position model. The record is from RNAcentral. Lineage: Bacteria; Bacillati; Bacillota; Bacilli; Caryophanales; Bacillaceae.